This 405-nucleotide ribosomal RNA is filed under the name uncultured bacterium. RNAcentral's name for it is "bacterial SSU rRNA". It matches the Rfam family "Bacterial small subunit ribosomal RNA", at positions 355 to 774 of the family's 1533-position model. The record is from RNAcentral.
GGAGGAAUAUUGGGCAAUGGGGGCAACCCUGACCCAGCAACGCCGCGUGAAGGAAGAAGGCCUUCGGGUUGUAAACUUCUGUGACAGGGGAAGAAAGAAAUGACGGUACCCUGAGAGGAAGCCACGGCAAACUACGUGCCAGCAGCCGCGGUAAUACGUAGGUGGCGAGCGUUGUCCGGAAUCACUGGGCGUAAAGGGCGCGUAGGCGGUUUAUCAAGUCGCAUGUGAAAUACCAGGGCUCAACUCUGGGGGGUCAUGCGAAACUGAUGGACCUAAGUGCAGUAGAGGAAAGCGGAAUUCCUGGUGUAGCGGUAAAAUGCGUAGAGAUCAGGAGGAACACCGGUGGCGAAGGCGGCUUUCUGGGCUGUAACUGACGCUGAGGCGCGAAAGCGUGGGGAGCAAACA